AGAUUGAACGCUGGCGGCAGGCUUAACACAUGCAAGUCGAGCGGGGAAAUGUAGCUUGCUACAUUACCUAGCGGCGGACGGUGAGUAAUGCUUAGGAAUCUGCCUAUUAGUGGGGGACAACAUUUCGAAAGGAAUGCUAAUACCGCAUACGCCCUACGGGGGAAAGCAGGGGAUCUUCGGACCUUGCGCUAAUAGAUGAGCCUAAGUCGGAUUAGCUA
This 218-nucleotide ribosomal RNA is filed under the name uncultured soil bacterium. RNAcentral's name for it is "partial 16S ribosomal RNA". It matches the Rfam family "Bacterial small subunit ribosomal RNA", at positions 26 to 247 of the family's 1533-position model. The record is from RNAcentral.